AUGACUAAAGAAAAAUAAUAUAUUUUUCAUUGAAGGCAUGAAGAUUGUCCCACUUGAUAUGCUCCAUUCUUGAAGUGAAUGUGACAACGACGCAUAAUAAGCCUGAAUAAAGAGAAGUGGUUGAACGAUGAACGUGAGCGUUCCAAAGAUCAAAACAAUAAUAAUGAAUGAAGAUAAGUGGUUGAACAAUAAACGUGAGCGUUCCAAAGAUCAAAAAAAUAACAAUCAUCACUGUAAUUAUAAAAGGAGAACAAUAAAAAUUCUCAAAAUAGUCCUUCAAAAUGUGAAGGCAAUAUUUACCAUCAAAUUGGUAUGAAACUAAUAAAGCACGUCACUAAUUAUGAUCCAUUUCUUAAAGAAAAUGUGACU
Molecule: long non-coding RNA, 369 nt
Filed under: Nicotiana benthamiana
Lineage: Eukaryota; Viridiplantae; Streptophyta; Magnoliopsida; Solanales; Solanaceae
Description: long non-coding RNA (NBEN_LNC016663)
Source: RNAcentral